RNAcentral lists this ribosomal RNA (253 nucleotides) under uncultured bacterium. RNAcentral's name for it is "partial 16S ribosomal RNA". It matches the Rfam family "Bacterial small subunit ribosomal RNA", at positions 524 to 776 of the family's 1533-position model. The record is from RNAcentral.
UACGUAGACAGCAAGCGUUGUUCGGAAUUACUGGGCGUAAAGAGUGUGUAGGCGGUGUUCUAAGUCUGUCGUGAAAUCUCCCGGCUUAACUGGGAGGGUGCGGCGGAAACUGGAGUGCUAGAGGGUGGGAGAGGAAAGCGGAAUUCCUGGUGUAGCGGUGAAAUGCGUAGAUAUCAGGAGGAACACCUGCGGUGUAGACAGCUUUCUGGACCACUUCUGACGCUGAGACACGAAAGCGUGGGUAGCAAACAGG